CCCCGGGCUCAACCUGGGAACUGCGUUNUGAACUGGGUAGCUAGAGUAUGUCAGAGGGGGGUAGAAUUCCACGUGUAGCAGUGAAAUGCGUAGAGGUGUGGAGGAAUACCGAUGGCGAAGGCAGCCCCCUGGGAUAAUACUGACGUUCAUGCUCGAAAGCGUGGGUAGCAAACAGGAUUAGAUACCCUGGUAGUCCACGCCCUAAACGAUGUCGAUUAGCUGUUGGGCAACUUGAUUGCUUAGUAGCGUAGCUAACGCGUGAAAUCGACCGCCUGGGGAGUACGGUCGCAAGAUUAAAACUCAAAGGAAUUGACGGGGACCCGCACAAGCGGUGGAUGAUGUGGAUUAAUUNGAUGCAACGCGAAGAACCUUACCUGGUCUUGACAUGUACGGAAGAACUCAGAGACGAGUUUGUGCCUUCGGGAGCCGUAACACAGGUGCUGCAUGGCUGUCGUCAGCUCGUGUCGUGAGAUGUUGGGUUAAGUCCCGCAACGAGCGCAACCCUUGUCAUUAGUUGCCAUCAUUUAGUUGGGCACUCUAAUGAGACUGCCGGCGACAAACCGGAGGAAGGUGGGGAUGACGUCAAGUCCUCAUGGCCCUUAUGACCAGGGCUUCACACGUCAUACAAUGGUCGGUACAGAGGGUAGCCAAGCCGCGAGGUGGAGCCAAUCCCAGAAAACCGAUCGUAGUCCGGAUUGCACUCUGCAACUCGAGUGCAUGAAGUCGGAAUCGCUAGUAAUCGCAGGUCAGCAUACUGCGGUGAAUACGUUCCCGGGUCUUGUACACACCGCCCGUCACACCAUGGGAGUGGGGGAUACCAGAAGUAGGUAGGGUAACCGCAAGGAGCCCGCU
This 852-nucleotide ribosomal RNA is filed under the name uncultured bacterium. RNAcentral's name for it is "bacterial SSU rRNA". It matches the Rfam family "Bacterial small subunit ribosomal RNA", at positions 601 to 1454 of the family's 1533-position model. The record is from RNAcentral.